GAUGAACGCUGGCGGCGUGCCUAAUACAUGCAAGUCGAGCGAACGGACGAGAAGCUUGCUUCUCUGAUGUUAGCGGCGGACGGGUGAGUAACACGUGGAUAACCUACCUAUAAGACUGGGAUAACUUCGGGAAACCGGAGCUAAUACCGGAUAAUAUUUUGAACCGCAUGGUUCAAAAGUGAAAGACGGUCUUGCUGUCACUUAUAGAUGGAUCCGCGCUGCAUUAGCUAGUUGGUAAGGUAACGGCUUACCAAGGCAACGAUGCAUAGCCGACCUGAGAGGGUGAUCGGCCACACUGGAACUGAGACACGGUCCAGACUCUUACGGGAGGCAGCAGUAGGGAGUCUUCCGCAAUGAGCGAAAGCCUGACGGAGCAACGCCGCGUGAGUGAUGAAGGUCUUCGGAUCGUAAAACUCUGUUAUUAGGGAAGAACAUAUGUGUAAGUAACUGUGCACAUCUUGACGGUACCUAAUCAGAAAGCCACGGCUAACUACGUGCCAGCAGCCGCGGUAAUACGUAGGUGGCAAGCGUUAUCCGGAAUUAUUGGGCGUAAAGCGCGCGUAGGCGGUUUUUUAAGUCUGAUGUGAAAGCCCACGGCUCAACCGUGGAGGGUCAUUGGAAACUGGAAAACUUGAGUGCAGAAGAGGAAAGUGGAAUUCCAUGUGUAGCGGUGAAAUGCGCAGAGAUAUGGAGGAACACCAGUGGCGAAGGCGACUUUCUGGUCUGUAACUGACGCUGAUGUGCGAAAGCGUGGGGAUCAAACAGGAUUAGAUACCCUGGUAGUCCACGCCGUAAACGAUGAGUGCUAAGUGUUAGGGGGUUUCCGCCCCUUAGUGCUGCAGCUAACGCAUUAAGCACUCCGCCUGGGGAGUACGACCGCAAGGUUGAAACUCAAAGGAAUUGACGGGGACCCGCACAAGCGGUGGAGCAUGUGGUUUAAUUCGAAGCAACGCGAAGAGCCUUACCAAAUCUUGACAUCCUUUGACAACUCUAGAGAUAGAGCCUUCCCCUUCGGGGGACAAAGUGACAGGUGGUGCAUGGUUGUCGUCAGCUCGUGUCGUGAGAUGUUGGGUUAAGUCCCGCAACGAGCGCAACCCUUAAGCUUAGUUGCCAUCAUUAAGUUGGGCACUCUAAGUUGACUGCCGGUGACAAACCGGAGGAAGGUGGGGAUGACGUCAAAUCAUCAUGCCCCUUAUGAUUUGGGCUACACACGUGCUACAAUGGACAAUACAAAGGGCAGCGAAACCGCGAGGUCAAGCAAAUCCCAUAAAGUUGUUCUCAGUUCGGAUUGUAGUCUGCAACUCGACUACAUGAAGCUGGAAUCGCUAGUAAUCGUAGAUCAGCAUGCUACGGUGAAUACGUUCCCGGGUCU
RNAcentral lists this ribosomal RNA (1372 nucleotides) under uncultured bacterium. Its description in RNAcentral is "bacterial SSU rRNA". It matches the Rfam family "Bacterial small subunit ribosomal RNA", at positions 28 to 1381 of the family's 1533-position model. The record is from RNAcentral.